CAACUGGUAGAAGACCAACAGGGAUUGCCUUAGUAACGGCGAGUGAAGCGGCAACAGCUCAAAUUUGAAAUCUGGCCCUUGGGUCCGAAUUGUAAUUUGUAGAGGAUGAUUUUGGUGCGGUAUCUUCCGAGUUCCUUGGAACAGGACGCCUUAGAGGGUGAGAGCCCCGUACGGUUGAAUGCCUAGCCUCUGUAAAUCUCCUUCGACGAGUCGAGUAGUUUGGGAAUGCUGCUCUAAAUGGGAGGUAAAUUUCUUCUAAAGCUAAAUAUUGGCCAGAGACCGAUAGCGCACAAGUAGAGUGAUCGAAAGAUGAAAAGCACUUUGAAAAGAGGGUUAAAUAGCACGUGAAAUUGUUGAAAGGGAAGGAUUUGUGACCAGACUUUUUCUGGGCGGAUCAUCCGGGGUUCUCUCCGGUGCACUUCGCCCAGUAAAGGCCAGCAUCGGUUUUCGGCGUGGGAUAAAAGCAGUAGGAAUGUGGCUCUCUACGGGGAGUGUUAUAGCCUAUUGUAUAAUACCGCGCUGGGGACCGAGGUUCGCGCUUCUGCAAGGAUGCUGGCGUAAUGGUUAUCAAUCACCCGUCUUGAAACACGGACCAAGGAGUCGAACAUUUGUGCGAGUGUUUGGGUGUUAAACCCUCACGCGUAAUGAAAGUGAACGGAGGUGAGAGCCCUUACGGGUGCAUCAUCGACCGAUCCUGAAGUUUUCGGAUGGAUUUGAGUAAGAGCAUAACUGUUCGGACCCGAAAGAUGGUGAACUAUGCGUGGAUAGGGUGAAGCCAGAGGAAACUCUGGUGGAGGCUCGCAGCGGUUCUGACGUGCAAAUCGAUCGUCAAAUCUGCGCAUGGGGGCGAAAGACUAAUCGAACCAUCUAGUAGCUGGUACCGC
This 884-nucleotide ribosomal RNA is filed under the name Neopestalotiopsis formicidarum. RNAcentral describes it as "Neopestalotiopsis formicarum partial 28S ribosomal RNA". It matches the Rfam family "Eukaryotic large subunit ribosomal RNA", at positions 44 to 960 of the family's 3401-position model. Lineage: Eukaryota; Fungi; Ascomycota; Sordariomycetes; Amphisphaeriales; Sporocadaceae. The record is from RNAcentral.